UGGUAAUAAGCAAAGAGACACCUUGCUGGUGGUGCUGUUCUUUUAUCAGUCAUUGACCAGAGUAGAUGGCAGUCCUUUGUUCAUCCUAGCUUGAUGCCUGGCUCAGUGGCCAAAGCUGUCUUAUACCUAGGACUCAUAA
Small nucleolar RNA from Psammomys obesus (fat sand rat), 139 nucleotides. RefSeq annotates it as small nucleolar RNA SNORA48. The record is from RefSeq and is a predicted model, not a curated record. The transcript has a single exon. Lineage: Eukaryota; Metazoa; Chordata; Mammalia; Rodentia; Muridae.